AUCGCUCAACGGAUAAAAGGUACUCCGGGGAUAACAGGCUGAUACCGCCCAAGAGUUCAUAUCGACGGCGGUGUUUGGCACCUCGAUGUCGGCUCAUCACAUCCUGGGGCUGAAGCCGGUCCCAAGGGUAUGGCUGUUCGCCAUUUAAAGUGGUACGCGAGCUGGGUUUAGAACGUCGUGAGACAGUUCGGUCCCUAUCUGCCGUGGACGUUUGAGAUUUGAGAGGGGCUGCUCCUAGUACGAGAGGACCGGAGUGGACGAACCUCUGGUGUUCCGGUUGUCACGCCAGUGGCAUUGCCGGGUAGCUACGUUCGGAAGAGAUAACCGCUGAAAGCAUCUAAGCGGGAAACUUGCCUCAAGAUGAGAUCUCACUGGAGCCUUGAGCUCCCUAAAGGGCCGUCGAAGACUACGACGUUGAUAGGUUGGGUGUGUAAGCGCUGUGAGGCGUUGAGCUAACCAAUACUAAUUGCCCGUGAGGCUUGACCAUAUAACCACCCAAACAAUU
This 505-nucleotide ribosomal RNA is filed under the name Bacillus velezensis. RNAcentral describes it as "partial 23S ribosomal RNA". It matches the Rfam family "Bacterial large subunit ribosomal RNA", at positions 2444 to 2925 of the family's 2925-position model. The record is from RNAcentral. Lineage: Bacteria; Bacillati; Bacillota; Bacilli; Caryophanales; Bacillaceae.